This is a non-coding RNA of Triticum aestivum (bread wheat), 118 nucleotides long. Lineage: Eukaryota; Viridiplantae; Streptophyta; Magnoliopsida; Poales; Poaceae. The record is from Rfam.
GAAAUACCCCCUCCGUCCGAAAAUACUUGUCCUAAAAAUGGGUAAAAUGUAUGUAUCUAUAAUAAGUCUAGAUAUAACCAUUUCUAAGACAAGUAUUUCCGGACGAAGGGAGUAAGUG